This 301-nucleotide ribosomal RNA is filed under the name uncultured bacterium. Its description in RNAcentral is "partial 16S ribosomal RNA". It matches the Rfam family "Bacterial small subunit ribosomal RNA", at positions 509 to 807 of the family's 1533-position model. The record is from RNAcentral.
CAGUAGCCGCGGGAAUACAGAGGGUGCGAGCGUUAAUCGGAUUUACUGGGCGUAAAGCGUGCGUAGGCGGCUUCUUAAGUCGUAUGUGAAAUCCCUGAGCUUAACUUAGGAAUUGCAUUCGAUACUGGGAAGCUAGAGUAUGGGAGAGGAUGGUAGAAUUCCAGGUGUAGCGGUGAAAUGCGUAGAGAUCUGGAGGAAUACCGAUGGCGAAGGCAGCCAUCUGGCCUAAUACUGACGCUGAGGUACGAAAGCAUGGGGAGCAAACAGGAUUAGAUACCCCAGUAGUCCCUGUCUCUUAUAC